GUUUUGUAAACGAAUCUUUUCCUUUCAGAGUAAGAGGAAACGAUCUAAUUAAGACUCUUUCUGUAGCAGAUUGACAAAGAAAUAUGACAUGCUGAACAUCUUUGGCUACGUAAACUUGGUCCAUGGUCUACCCAAUUGUGAUAGAAGGAUUUGUCUACUCUAUUUCCCACACAAUGUGAAUACUGGGCCUAGCUGCUCUGUGUAUGGCACAGAUUCUAAACACAACAAAGCCAGUGACUGCAAAUUAUGACAAGGCAUGCUAAAUGAGAGACAUCUGUUGGUAGUGAUUCCCAAGGCACUAAAAGCAAGGUCUAAUUCAGCAAGACUAACAAUAAAUGGUGGUUUAGAAGGAGCAGAGUGAUGGCUCCCUGAAGGAAUCAGAAAGACAUACCAGCAGUUUUUAUCAGAUGCUGAUUCACCUUCCAGCAUAGCAUAAUAUCUUUGGAGACCAUAGGUAGUGGAGGCAUGUAGUUGAGUAAGGACCUAUAGUCACUUUCAACUCAUCUAUCCAUCCACAGUUGAUGAUGUGGCAUGUGCUCAUGGGUAACUCAUGAUUUUCUCAAAAUUAUCGUUUCCAAUAUCGGUGUCUAAUUGUGACAAACUUUCCAACUAUUUCUUCAUUAACAAAACAAGAACCCUCACACCUUAUAUAAAUCAUCAGUAUGUCAAUUUGUAUCAAUGAUAUACCUAUACAUACAAGCACAGGAAAGACAAGCUUUUAUCAGACAGUCUAUUAACAUCAAAUACAAAUGAUUGUUGGGCUCUCAAUAAUUACAUUUUAUCUCACUGGUAUAGCCCAGGCUACGUGUAGACCGUUGCCUACAUACUGUUCAGAUCAUAAGAUUCCCUUAUCAUUCAAACUUUAUGCUAUGUACAGUUUCAUUUCAUGAAUAUAAACAUAACUUUAUUUGAUUUUAAAGCUAUAUCAGUGUUCAUAAACUGGAAAUGAACUGUUAAUGAAGCUGACCACGAGAACAUGAGGCAUUGAUAGGCAAAUGAUGGACCUAUAUUAUUCAUUCAUUACAUAUUUAAUUUUACUUGCCUUUUAAACACACUUUCAUUUUACAGGAGUCAAUAUUACUCUCCUAUUUUAACCAUUAUUUAUUCUUUCUAACUAAGUGAAGUUACAGUGUCAUACAUUUAAAAAUAAUAUGUCUUGGCUAGUCGUAUAUGCUGUACUAUAUGUGUCAUCAACACACAAGGAUGAUGGGAUUUCAGUGAGAUCUGAAAAUUUUGCUAAUAAGUUACUUGGCAAAAUACUCCUGAAAUUGCUUAGUUACUGAGCUAGUAUAACAAUUAGCAUGCUCAAGGAAAAACUAUCUAAAUAGGCAAAGUAUUCUGAAAAGAAAAUGCAAUACCACUGCUGUGCAUUAACUGACAUUUCCUGCCUUCUCGUCAAUGUUCCAGUGGCUGUGCCUUUCACCUGCCUCGGCAACCUCCUAGACAACAAUAUUUCAUGCUAAUUCAAAUAUGCCACCCAUUUAAUUUACAUGAAAAAAAUUGUUAGAAUACACCUUAUUUGCACUCACAGAGCUAGAUGUUUUUUUUAUUUACAUGCAAUUAGAUAAAAAUGAUAUUGUUAAGAUACAAUAAAGUUUGUUCAUACUUACCUGGCAGAUAUAUAUAUAGCUGUAUUCUCUGAAGUCCGACAGAAUUUCUAAAAACUUACGACACACGUAGUGGGAGUAGGGUGGUUAGUACCCAUUCCCGCCGCUGGGAGGCGGGUAUCAGGAACCAUUCCCAUUUUCUAUCAGAUUUCUAUCUCCAC
This is a long non-coding RNA of Macrobrachium nipponense, 1768 nucleotides long. RefSeq lists it as uncharacterized. The record is from RefSeq and is a predicted model, not a curated record. The transcript is spliced from 5 exons. Lineage: Eukaryota; Metazoa; Arthropoda; Malacostraca; Decapoda; Palaemonidae.